CGGAGGUGGCGAGCGUUACUCGGAAUCAUUGGGUGUAAAGGGCAGGUAGGCGGUCUGUUAAGUGAGGGGUGAAUCUCCCGGCUCAAUCGGGAAACUGCCUUUCAAACUGGCAGACUUGAGUGUGAUAGGGGGAAGCGGAAUUAGCAGUGUAAGGGUGAAAUCUGUAGAUAUUGCUAAGAACACCAGCGGCGAAGGCGGCUUCCUGGAUCACAACUGACGCUGAUCUGCGAAAGCUAGGGGAGCAAACAGAAUUAGAUACUCUGGUAGUCCUAGCUGUAAACGAUGAGUACUAGGUGUUGGACCGUAAGGUUCAGUGCCGCAGCUAACGCAUUAAGUACUCCACCUGAGGACUACGACCGCAAGGUUA
Molecule: ribosomal RNA, 367 nt
Filed under: uncultured organism
Description: bacterial SSU rRNA
Rfam family: Bacterial small subunit ribosomal RNA
Source: RNAcentral